RNAcentral lists this ribosomal RNA (308 nucleotides) under uncultured bacterium. Its description in RNAcentral is "partial 16S ribosomal RNA". It matches the Rfam family "Bacterial small subunit ribosomal RNA", at positions 505 to 808 of the family's 1533-position model. The record is from RNAcentral.
GAGACAGCAGCAGCCGCGGUAAUACGUAGGUCCCGAGCGUUGUCCGGAUUUAUUGGGCGUAAAGCGAGCGCAGGCGGUUAGAUAAGCCUGAAGUUAAAGGCUGUGGCUUAACCAUAGUACGCUUUGGAAACUGUUUAACUUGAGUGCAGAAGAGGAGAGUGGAAUUCCACGUGUAGCGGUGAAAUGCGUAGAGAUGUGGAGGAACACCAGUGGCGAAGGCGACUCUCUGGUCUGUAACUGACGCUGAGGAGCGAAAGCGUGGGGAGCGAACGGGAUUAGAUACCCGCGUAGUCCCUGUCUCUUAUACC